RNAcentral lists this ribosomal RNA (494 nucleotides) under uncultured bacterium. Its description in RNAcentral is "partial 16S ribosomal RNA". It matches the Rfam family "Bacterial small subunit ribosomal RNA", at positions 28 to 507 of the family's 1533-position model. The record is from RNAcentral.
GACGAACGCUGGCGGCGUGCUUAACACAUGCAAGUCGAACGGUGAAGCGCCUUCCUUUUUGGUGGGUGUGGAUGAGUGGCGAACUGGUGAGUAACACGUGAGUAACCUGCCCCCUUCUUCUGGAUAACCGCAUGAAAGUGUGGCUAAUACGGGAUAUUCUGGGUCUGUCGCAUGAUGGGUCUGGGAAAGAUCUUGUUUCGGUGGGGGAUGGGCUCGCGGCCUAUCAGCUUGUUGGUGGGGUGAUGGCCUACCAAGGCGGUGACGGGUAGCCGGCCUGAGAGGGUGGACGGUCACACAGGGACUGAGAGACGGCCCAGACUCCUACGGGAGGCAGCAGUGGGGAAUAUUGCACAAUGGGCGCAAGCCUGAUGCAGCGACGCCGCGUGGGGGAUGGAGGCCUUCGGGUUGUGAACCUCUUUCGCCAGUGAGGCAGGCCUGCCUCGUUUGUGGAUGGGUUGACGGUAGCUGGAGAAGAAGCGCCGGCUAACUACGUG